UACGAAGGGGGCUAGCGUUGUUCGGAUUUACUGGGCGUAAAGCGCACGUAGGCGGAUUGUUAAGUCGGGGGUGAAAUCCUGGAGCUCAACUCCAGAAUUGCCUUCGAUACUGGCUUUCUAGAGGCUGGAAGAGGUUAGUGGAAUUCCCAGUGUAGAGGUGAAAUUCGUAGAUAUUGGGAAGAACACCAGUGGCGAAGGCGGCUAACUGGUCCAGAUCUGACGCUGAGGUGCGAAAGCGUGGGGAGCGAACAGG
This 253-nucleotide ribosomal RNA is filed under the name uncultured bacterium. RNAcentral's name for it is "partial 16S ribosomal RNA". It matches the Rfam family "Bacterial small subunit ribosomal RNA", at positions 524 to 776 of the family's 1533-position model. The record is from RNAcentral.